GAUGAAGAACGUAGCGAAAUGCGAUACUUGGUGUGAAUUGCAGAAUCCCGUGAACCAUCGAGUCUUUGAACGCAAGUUGCGCCUCAAGCCAUUAGGUUGAGGGCACGUCUGCCUGGGCGUCACAUAUCGUUGCCUGAUGCCAGUUUCCUCGUGAUGGGUGACUGUGCAGGGCGAAUGAUGGCUUCCCGUGAGCAUUGUUGCCUCAUGGUUGGUUGAAAUUUGAGUCCUUGGUAGGGAGCGCCGUGAUAGAUGGUGGUUGAGUGACGAACGAGACCCAAUCAUGUGAGACCCCUACCGAAUUUGGCCUUCAUGACCCACAUGCGUCUUUGGAACGCUCAUGACGAGACCUCAGGUCAGGCGGGGCUACCCGCUGAGUUUAAGCAUAUCAAUAAGCGGAGGA
RNAcentral lists this unclassified non-coding RNA (400 nucleotides) under soil metagenome. RNAcentral describes it as "partial contains 5.8S ribosomal RNA, internal transcribed spacer 2, and large subunit ribosomal RNA". The stretch from base 1 to 122 matches the Rfam family "5.8S ribosomal RNA", at positions 35 to 154 of the family's 154-position model. The record is from RNAcentral.